AACGAACGCUGGCGGCAUGCCUAACACAUGCAAGUCGAACGAGACCUUCGGGUCUAGUGGCGCACGGGUGCGUAACGCGUGGGAAUCUGCCCUUGGGUUCGGGAUAACAGUUGGAAACGACUGCUAAUACCGGAUGAUGACUUCGGUCCAAAGAUUUAUCGCCCAGGGAUGAGCCCGCGUCGGAUUAGCUAGUUGGUGAGGUAAGAGCUCACCAAGGCGACGAUCCGUAGCUGGUCUGAGAGGAUGAUCAGCCACACUGGGACUGAGACACGGCCCAGACUCCUACGGGAGGCAGCAGUGGGGAAUAUUGACAAUGGGCGAAAGCCUGAUCCAGCAAUGCCGCGUGAGUGAUGAAGGCCUUAGGGUUGUAAAGCUCUUUUACCCGGGAUGAUAAUGACAGUACCGGGAGAAUAAGCCCCGGCUAACUCCGU
This 431-nucleotide ribosomal RNA is filed under the name uncultured bacterium. Its description in RNAcentral is "partial 16S ribosomal RNA". It matches the Rfam family "Bacterial small subunit ribosomal RNA", at positions 29 to 506 of the family's 1533-position model. The record is from RNAcentral.